Molecule: ribosomal RNA, 468 nt
Filed under: uncultured bacterium
Lineage: Bacteria
Description: partial 16S ribosomal RNA
Rfam family: Bacterial small subunit ribosomal RNA
Source: RNAcentral
GACGAACGCUGGCGGCGUGCUUAACACAUGCAAGUCGAACGGAAAGGCCCUGCUUUUGUGGGGUGCUCGAGUGGCGAACGGGUGAGUAACACGUGAGUAACCUGCCCUUGACUUUGGGAUAACUUCAGGAAACUGGGGCUAAUACCGGAUAGGAGCUCCUGCUGCAUGGUGGGGGUUGGAAAGUUUCGGCGGUUGGGGAUGGACUCGCGGCUUAUCAGCUUGUUGGUGGGGUAGUGGCUUACCAAGGCUUUGACGGGUAGCCGGCCUGGGAGGGGGGCCGGCCACAUUGGGACUGAGAUACGGCCCAGACUCCUACGGGAGGCAACGGUGGGGAAUAUUGCACAAUGGGCGGAAGCCUGAUGCAGCAACGCCGCGUGCGGGAUGACGGCCUUCGGGUUGUAAACCGCUUUCGCCUGGGACGAAGCGUGAGUGACGGUAAUGAGUAAAGAAGCACCGGCUAACUACGUG